Molecule: long non-coding RNA, 309 nt
Organism: Sapajus apella (tufted capuchin)
Lineage: Eukaryota; Metazoa; Chordata; Mammalia; Primates; Cebidae
Exons: 3
Source: RefSeq, a predicted model, not a curated record
ACACAAAGUAACGAAAAGAUAUUUUGCGUUCAUGGAUUGGAAGAAUUAUUAUUAUUACAAUGUCCAUUCUACCCAAAGCACUCUACUGUUUCAAUGCAAAUUUCAAAUGCAAAUUUCAGUCAAGAUACUAAUGAUGUUCUUUAUAAAAAUAGAAAGCACAAUCCUUAAAUUUAUACAGUAGCACAGAAGACCCAGAAUAGCCAAAGCUAUCCUGAGCAAAAAGCACCAAACUUGAGGAAUAAUAUUACCUGACUUCCAAUUAUAUUGCACAGCUAUGAUAAUAAAAACAGCAUGGUACUGGCAUAAAAA